This 235-nucleotide long non-coding RNA is filed under the name Physcomitrium patens. Its description in RNAcentral is "long non-coding RNA (PPAT_LNC002533)". Lineage: Eukaryota; Viridiplantae; Streptophyta; Bryopsida; Funariales; Funariaceae. The record is from RNAcentral.
UUCAUACCACCGGACCUUCCUGGAAUACCACUGGUGUUGAUUUAUCUACUUGGUCUCCUGGGAGUCCAGAGUCUGCCAAGAAGACAAGUGCACCUCCACCUCCUCCUCGAGGGCCACCACCUCCUCCUCCAAGAGGACCACCACCACCUCCUCCACCUGGUUCACUUGCCCCACCCUUAUCUGGUGCUUCAAGUUCUACUGGUGGAGCCCCUCUCAGCAUGUCUGAAGUUCUUAA